RNAcentral lists this small nuclear RNA (107 nucleotides) under Notamacropus eugenii (tammar wallaby). Lineage: Eukaryota; Metazoa; Chordata; Mammalia; Diprotodontia; Macropodidae. The record is from RNAcentral.
AUGCUCAUUUCAGAGGCAUACAUAUUAAAACUGGAAUGAUACAGAGAAGAUUAGCAUGGCCCCUGUGCAGAGAUGACAUGCGAAUUUGUGAAGCAUUUAAUUUUUUU